This 327-nucleotide ribosomal RNA is filed under the name uncultured eukaryote. RNAcentral describes it as "partial 18S ribosomal RNA". It matches the Rfam family "Eukaryotic small subunit ribosomal RNA", at positions 1470 to 1796 of the family's 1831-position model. The record is from RNAcentral.
CCCUUAGAUGUUCUGGGCCGCACGCGCGCUACACUGACGAAUGCAACGAGCUUAUAACCUUGGCCGAAAGGUCUGGGUACUCUCCAAAUUUCGUCGUGAUGGGGAUAGAUUAUUGCAAUUAUUAAUCUUCAACGAGGAAUGCCUAGUAAGCGCAAGUCAUCAGCUUGCGUUGAUUACGUCCCUGCCCUUUGUACACACCGCCCGUCGCUCCUACCGAUUGAAUGGUCCGGUGAAGCGUUCGGACCGUGGCCUUUGGACGGUUCGCCGUCUGUUGGCUGCGGGAAGUUCGUUAAACCUUAUCAUUUAGAGGAAGGAGAAGUCGUAACA